Molecule: non-coding RNA, 21 nt
Filed under: Arabidopsis thaliana (thale cress)
Lineage: Eukaryota; Viridiplantae; Streptophyta; Magnoliopsida; Brassicales; Brassicaceae
Source: RNAcentral
AUUAGGUUGAGUAUGUGCGGA